Molecule: long non-coding RNA, 431 nt
Filed under: Malus domestica (apple)
Lineage: Eukaryota; Viridiplantae; Streptophyta; Magnoliopsida; Rosales; Rosaceae
Description: long non-coding RNA (MDOM_LNC017758)
Source: RNAcentral
UCUCACUCUCAAAGUCACUCUCACAGUCCCCCCGCUCCACUCCUCCGUCGAAUCCACGCCGCUCCUCAUCGUCCAUCACUCCAUUGACUCAUGCCGCUCCACUCCUCCGUCGAAUCCAUGUCGGUCCUCGUCAUCCAUUGACUCACGCCGCUUCUCCAUCGACUCACACUCACACACUCGAAUCCGACACCAAUCGAGUCCCAAAAUCCAGGUUAGUAGGCCCAGAAGCUUUCCCAGUUGCAUGCAACUCUUCAUCUCUGUGCCUCGAGAGAUUUCUUCACUGAUUAGCACAACAAAUAUCACAGAGAGAGAGAGCACAGAGAGAGAGAGAGAGAGAGUGUGUGUGAAACGAGAAGAUAGAGAAUGAGAAGAAUUUCGAGAGGUCCUAAUCGCUUCUUGUUUUUCUUCGUCUUCAGUAUCUGUGAUGCACU